This 497-nucleotide ribosomal RNA is filed under the name uncultured bacterium. RNAcentral describes it as "partial 16S ribosomal RNA". It matches the Rfam family "Bacterial small subunit ribosomal RNA", at positions 28 to 507 of the family's 1533-position model. The record is from RNAcentral.
GAUGAACGCUGGCGGUGUGCCUAAUACAUGCAAGUCGAGCGAACAGACGAGGAGCUUACUCCUCUGACGUUAGCGGCGGACGGGUGAGUAACACGUGGAUAACCUACCUAUAAGACUGGGAUAACUUCGGGAAACCGGAGCUAAUACCGGAUAACAUGUUGAACCGCAUGGUUCAACAGUGAAAGACGGUCUUGCUGUCACUUAUAGAUGGAUCCGCGUCGCAUUAGCUAGUUGGUAAGGUAACGGCUUACCAAGGCAACGAUGCGUAGCCGACCUGAGAGGGUGAUCGGCCACACUGGAACUGAGACACGGUCCAGACUCCUACGGGAGGCAGCAGUAGGGAAUCUUCCGCAAUGGGCGAAAGCCUGACGGAGCAACGCCGCGUGAGUGAAGAAGGUCUUCGGAUCUUAAAACUCUGUUAUUAGGGAAGAACAAAUGUGUAAGUAACUAUGCACGUCUUGACGGUACCUAAUCAGAAAGCCACGGCUAACUACGUG